This 217-nucleotide long non-coding RNA is filed under the name Elaeis guineensis (African oil palm). RNAcentral's name for it is "long non-coding RNA (EGUI_LNC078076)". The record is from RNAcentral. Lineage: Eukaryota; Viridiplantae; Streptophyta; Magnoliopsida; Arecales; Arecaceae.
AUUUCAAACAAAGGCCUUAAAAAUCCUGAAGAAAUCGGCGGGACAAAAGGCAAAAGGUUUGCGGAGGAUCAAACCAGAGGAAUGCAGCAGAAGAAAAAUGGAGAAGAAAGGACACCUGGAUGGCAAGAAGAGAAACGAAGGUUCCGAGACUAACCUAGAUCGCUCCGAAGGAUGCAGAGGGGCGAGGACAGGGAUGACUCGAAGAACGCUUAGGGCC